UUCGAUGUGUCGGCGUGUCUAUACAUGCAAGUCGAGCGAACUUGCGGGAGCUUGCUCCCAAAAGUUAGCGGCGGACGGGUGAGUAACACGUGGGCAACCUGCCUGUAAGACUGGGAUAACUUCGGGAAACCGGAGCUAAUACCGGAUAAUUCUUAUCAACACAUGUUGGUAAGCUGAAAGUCGGUUUCGGCUGACACUUACAGAUGGGCCCGCGGCGCAUUAGCUAGUUGGUGAGGUAACGGCUCACCAAGGCAACGAUGCGUAGCCGACCUGAGAGGGUGAUCGGCCACACUGGGACUGAGACACGGCCCAGACUCCUACGGGAGGCAGCAGUAGGGAAUCUUCCACAAUGGACGAAAGUCUGAUGGAGCAACGCCGCGUGAGCGAUGAAGGCCUUCGGGUCGUAAAGCUCUGUUGUUAGGGAAGAACAAGUAUCGGAGUAACUGCCGGUACCUUGACGGUACCUAACCAGAAAGCCACGGCUAACUACGUGCCAGCAGCCGCGGUAAUACGUAGGUGGCAAGCGUUGUCCGGAAUUAUUGGGCGUAAAGCGCGCGCAGGCGGUCCUUUAAGUCUGAUGUGAAAGCCCACGGCUCAACCGUGGAGGGUCAUUGGAAACUGGGGGACUUGAGUGCAGAAGAGGAAAGCGGAAUUCCACGUGUAGCGGUGAAAUGCGUAGAGAUGUGGAGGAACACCAGUGGCGAAGGCGGCUUUCUGGUCUGUAACUGACGCUGAGGCGCGAAAGCGUGGGGAG
This 754-nucleotide ribosomal RNA is filed under the name Bacillus sp. S652Ba-162. Its description in RNAcentral is "bacterial SSU rRNA". It matches the Rfam family "Bacterial small subunit ribosomal RNA", at positions 29 to 768 of the family's 1533-position model. The record is from RNAcentral. Lineage: Bacteria; Bacillati; Bacillota; Bacilli; Caryophanales; Bacillaceae.